CAAACAGUUCUCUUGUUGCACAGGAAAAAUUGGAUUCAGAAGGUAAAAAUAACCCGGGAAGAAGAACCAAAAUUUUGCCUAAGUUUUUGUUCUUAUCCUCUUUAUUUGGAUACCAAUUAUUCAGGAUCUUGAGACUAAGGAGAGAGUUGUCAGAUUUUCAACCAGUUCCUGUUGGAUUUUUUUAUUUGGUCCCUAAAACAAUUUUCUAAAUCUUAUGGUACAAAAAUCCAUUACAUUAUAGCAAUUAUCUAUUUAAGUCCUUAACAGGAAAGAGAUAUUACAUAGCUUCAUCAAAAAGUUAUUUGAGCUAAGGACCUUGAGGUGAUAUCAGGAGGAAAAAAUCAUAUAAAUAAUAGGUUUUAUCUGAGCCUGGAAUAUUCUGUACAUUUUGUUGAUUUCAUGAUUUCAUAUGAUAUCUCAUGACCCUUACCUUUGCACUAAAAGAGUUAUAACUUGCUCUCAGGGAGAGGCUUUCUAGCCAUUGCUUCUCAAUAGAUGGUGGCAGAGAAAAGCAGAUGUCCCAGAAGAAACAAAACAGCUGAAACCAACAUAAGAUAUCAAAGAACUGCUUGACAAGUAUGAGACCAAGAAAGCCACCCAGAAAAAAGGAUGCAAGGAUAAUGGACAUGUGACAUCAGCAGAGUGAGAUGAGGAAACUGAGGUUGAGAAAUGUUAACUAUCCAGAAGUACAUGUCAAGAUUAGAACUCCAAUACUCUUUGAAUUGCAUCAAUGAACUGCCUCUUAAUAAGGGAAGCAUGAAAUGGUUGACCCGGUCAUGGACUUCUGCCUUUUGAACUCCAUUUUCCAAAGCAAGGAUCUCAGAAGUUUGGCAGCCCUUCCUUUGGGAAUAGAGAACAAGACAGCUCCCAUUGAGGAAAUACCUCCUACUACGUGG
This 896-nucleotide long non-coding RNA is filed under the name Sarcophilus harrisii (Tasmanian devil). Its description in RNAcentral is "lncRNA (ENSSHAG00000029864.1)". The record is from RNAcentral. Lineage: Eukaryota; Metazoa; Chordata; Mammalia; Dasyuromorphia; Dasyuridae.